Molecule: transfer RNA, 76 nt
Filed under: Gammaproteobacteria bacterium
Lineage: Bacteria; Pseudomonadati; Pseudomonadota; Gammaproteobacteria
Also listed under: 3 other names
Description: tRNA-His
Rfam family: tRNA
About the family: Transfer RNA (tRNA) molecules are approximately 80 nucleotides in length. Their secondary structure includes four short double-helical elements and three loops (D, anti-codon, and T loops). Further hydrogen bonds mediate the characteristic L-shaped molecular structure. tRNAs have two regions of fundamental functional importance: the anti-codon, which is responsible for specific mRNA codon recognition, and the 3' end, to which the tRNAs corresponding amino acid is attached (by aminoacyl-tRNA synthetases). tRNAs cope with the degeneracy of the genetic code in two manners: having more than one tRNA (with a specific anti-codon) for a particular amino acid; and 'wobble' base-pairing, i.e. permitting non-standard base-pairing at the 3rd anti-codon position.
Source: RNAcentral
GUGGACGUAGCUCAGUCGGUAGAGCCCUGGUUUGUGGCACCAGUGGUCGUGGGUUCGAGCCCCAUCGUCCACCCCA